AGAGAUGCUUUGGUGCCUUCGGGAACUCUGAGACAGGUGCUGCAUGGCUGUCGUCAGCUCGUGUUGUGAAAUGUUGGGUUAAGUCCCGCAACGAGCGCAACCCUUAUCCUUUGUUGCCAGCGGUUCGGCCGGGAACUCAAAGGAGACUGCCAGUGAUAAACUGGAGGAAGGUGGGGAUGACGUCAAGUCAUCAUGGCCCUUACGAGUAGGGCUACACACGUGCUACAAUGGCAUAUACAAAGAGAAGCGACCUCGCGAGAGCAAGCGGACCUCACAAAGUAUGUCGUAGUCCGGAUCGGAGUCUGCAACUCGACUCCGUGAAGUCGGAAUCGCUAGUAAUCGUAGAUCAGAAUGCUACGGUGAAUACGUUCCCGGGCCUUGUACACACCGCCCGUCACACCAUGGGAGUGGGUUGCAAAAGAAGUAGGUAGCUUAACCUUCGGGAGGGCGCUUACCACUUUGUGAUUCAUGACUGGGGUGAAGUCGUAA
RNAcentral lists this ribosomal RNA (489 nucleotides) under Enterobacter sp. ARE_As25_1. RNAcentral describes it as "bacterial SSU rRNA". It matches the Rfam family "Bacterial small subunit ribosomal RNA", at positions 1002 to 1491 of the family's 1533-position model. The record is from RNAcentral. Lineage: Bacteria; Pseudomonadati; Pseudomonadota; Gammaproteobacteria; Enterobacterales; Enterobacteriaceae.